CCAGACUCCUACGGGAGGCAGCAGUGGGGAAUAUUGCGCAAUGGGGGAAACCCUGACGCAGCAACGCCGCGUGAGUGAAGAAGUAUCUCGGUAUGUAAAGCUCUAUCAGCGGGGAAGAAGGAAGACGGUACCCGACUAAGAAGCCCCGGCUAACUACGUGCCAGCAGCCGCGGUAAUACGUAGGGGGCGAGCGUUAUCCGGAUUUACUGGGUGUAAAGGGAGCGUAGACGGCGGCGCAAGUCUGAAGUGAAAGCCCGUGGCUCAACCGCGGAACCGCUUUGGAAACUGGCAAACUGGAGUGUGUGAGAGGAUAGUGGAAUUCCAGGUGUAGGGGUGAAAUCCGUAGAUAUCUGGAGGAACAUCAGUGGCGAAGGCGACUAUCUGGCACAUAACUGACGCUGAGGAGCGAAAGCGUGGGUAGCAAACAGGAUUAGAUACCCCGGUAC
Molecule: ribosomal RNA, 446 nt
Filed under: uncultured bacterium
Lineage: Bacteria
Description: bacterial SSU rRNA
Rfam family: Bacterial small subunit ribosomal RNA
Source: RNAcentral